This 591-nucleotide ribosomal RNA is filed under the name uncultured bacterium. RNAcentral's name for it is "bacterial SSU rRNA". It matches the Rfam family "Bacterial small subunit ribosomal RNA", at positions 338 to 945 of the family's 1533-position model. The record is from RNAcentral.
CCUACGGGAGGCAGCAGUGGGGAAUAUUGGACAAUGGGCGAAAGCCUGAUCCAGCAAUGCCGCGUGAGUGAUGAAGGCCUUAGGGUUGUAAAGCUCUUUUACCAGGGAUGAUAAUGACAGUACCUGGAGAAUAAGCUCCGGCUAACUCCGUGCCAGCAGCCGCGGUAAUACGGAGGGAGCUAGCGUUGUUCGGAAUUACUGGGCGUAAAGCGUGCGUAGGCGGUGAUUCAAGUCAGAGGUGAAAGCCUGGAGCUCAACUCCAGAACGGCCUUUGAAACUAGAUCGCUAGAAUUAUGGAGAGGUAAGUGGAAUUCCGAGUGUAGAGGUGAAAUUCGUAGAUAUUCGGAAGAACACCAGUGGCGAAGGCGACUUACUGGACAUAUAUUGACGCUGAGGUACGAAAGCGUGGGGAGCAAACAGGAUUAGAUACCCUGGUAGUCCACGCCGUAAACGAUGAUAACUAGCUGUUCGGGCUCUCAGAGCUUGAGUGGCGCAGCUAACGCAUUAAGUUAUCCGCCUGGGGAGUACGGUCGCAAGAUUAAAACUCAAAGGAAUUGACGGCGNGAGAGNGCGAGACGACGACGAGGAGAG